Molecule: ribosomal RNA, 1434 nt
Filed under: metagenome
Description: bacterial LSU rRNA
Rfam family: Bacterial large subunit ribosomal RNA
Source: RNAcentral
CAGGAUGUAGGCAUGUAUCUUAGGCAAAUCCGGGGUACUCUAUGCUGAGAUCUGAUAGCAAGCUGUACUUGUAUAGCGAAGUGGUUGAUGCCAUGCUUCCAGGAAAAGUCUCUAAGCUUCAGUUACACAGGAAUCGUACCCGAAACCGACACAGGUGGUCAGGUCGAGUAGACCAAGGCGCUUGAGAGAACUCUGCUGAAGGAACUAGGCAAAAUGGUACCGUAACUUCGGGAGAAGGUACGCCGUUGUUGGUGAUGGAACUCGCUUCCUGAGCUGACGACAGCCGCAGAAACCAGGCCGCUGCAACUGUUUAUUAAAAACAUAGCACUCUGCAAACACGAAAGUGGACGUAUAGGGUGUGAUGCCUGCCCGGUGCUGGAAGGUUAAUUGAUGGGGUUAGCGUAAGCGAAGCUCUUGAUCGAAGCCCCAGUAAACGGCGGCCGUAACAAUAACGGUCCUAAGGUAGCGAAAUUCCUUGUCGGGUAAGUUCCGACCUGCACGAAUGGCAUAAUGAUGGCGGCGCUGUCUCCAGCAGAGGCUCAGUGAAAUCGAAAUCGCUGUGAAGAUGCAGUGUACCCGCGGCUAGACGGAAAGACCCUGUGAACCUUUACUGCAGCUUGACACUGAACUUUGACCUUACUUGUGUAGGAUAGGUGGGAGGCUUUGAAGCUGGAGCGCUAGUUCCAGUGGAGCCGUCCUUGAAAUACCACCCUGGUAAUGUUGAGGUUCUAACUCUGUCCCGUGAUCCGGGACGAGGACCGUGUCUGGUGGGUAGUUUGACUGGGGCGGUCUCCUCCUAAAGAGUAACGGAGGAGUACGAAGGUGCGCUCAGCGUGGUCGGAAAUCACGCGUAGAGUAUAAAGGCAAAAGCGCGCUUAACUGCGAGACCCACAAGUCGAGCAGGUACGAAAGUAGGUCUUAGUGAUCCGGUGGUUCUGUAUGGAAGGGCCAUCGCUCAACGGAUAAAAGGUACUCUGGGGAUAACAGGCUGAUACCGCCCAAGAGUUCAUAUCGACGGCGGUGUUUGGCACCUCGAUGUCGGCUCAUCUCAUCCUGGGGCUGAAGCAGGUCCCAAGGGUAUGGCUGUUCGCCAUUUAAAGAGGUACGCGAGCUGGGUUUAGAACGUCGUGAGACAGUUCGGUCCCUAUCUACCGUGGGCGCUGGAAAUUUGAGAGGAUCUGCUCCUAGUACGAGAGGACCAGAGUGGACGAACCUCUGGUGUACCGGUUGUGACGCCAGUCGCAUUGCCGGGUAGCUAUGUUCGGAAGGGAUAACCGCUGAAAGCAUCUAAGCGGGAAGCCUACCUCAAGAUAAGAUUUCCCUAGGACUUUAUGUCCUCUAAAGAGCCGUUCGAGACUAGGACGUUGAUAGGUUGGAUGUGGAAGCAUAGUGAUAUGUGAAGCUGACCAAUACUAAUUGCUCGUGAGGCUUGAC